UACGUAGGGGGCAAGCGUUGUCCGGAAUCAUUGGGCGUAAAGCGCGUGUAGGCGGCCAGAAAAGUCCGCUGUGAAAACUCAAGGCUCAACUUCGAGCUGUCGGUGGAAACUUUCUGGCUAGAGUCCGGAAGAGGAGAAUGGAAUUCCUGGUGUAGCGGUGAAAUGCGCAGAUAUCAGGAAGAACACCCGUGGCGAAGGCGGUUCUCUGGGACGGUACUGACGCUGAGACGCGAAAGCGUGGGGAGCGAACAGG
This 253-nucleotide ribosomal RNA is filed under the name uncultured bacterium. RNAcentral's name for it is "partial 16S ribosomal RNA". It matches the Rfam family "Bacterial small subunit ribosomal RNA", at positions 524 to 776 of the family's 1533-position model. The record is from RNAcentral.